CCUACGGGUGGCAGCAGUGGGGAAUCUUGCGCAAUGCGCGAAAGCGUGACGCAGCAACGCCGCGUGGGGGAAGACGGCCUUCGGGUUGUAAACCCCUUUCAGUUGGGACGAAGCUUCGCCGGUGAAUAGCCGUGUGGAGUGACGGUACCUUCAGAAGAAGCCCCGGCUAACUACGUGCCAGCAGCCGCGGUAAUACGUAGGGGGCAAGCGUUGUCCGGAAUCAUUGGGCGUAAAGAGCGUGUAGGCGGCUCGGUAAGUCCGCUGUGAAAGUCCAGGGCUCAACCCUGGAAUGCCGGUGGAAACUGUCGGGCUAGAGUCCGGAAGAGGCGAGUGGAAUUCCUGGUGUAGCGGUGAAAUGCGCAGAUAUCAGGAGGAACACCAAUGGCGAAGGCAGCUCGCUGGGACGUUACUGACGCUGAGACGCGAAAGCGUGGGGAGCGAACAGGAUUAGAUACCCUUGUAGUC
RNAcentral lists this ribosomal RNA (465 nucleotides) under Salmonella enterica subsp. enterica. RNAcentral describes it as "bacterial SSU rRNA". It matches the Rfam family "Bacterial small subunit ribosomal RNA", at positions 338 to 795 of the family's 1533-position model. The record is from RNAcentral. Lineage: Bacteria; Pseudomonadati; Pseudomonadota; Gammaproteobacteria; Enterobacterales; Enterobacteriaceae.